AUUGAACGCUGGCGGCAGGCCUAACACAUGCAAGUCGAGCGAGUGGCGGACGGGUGAGUAAUGUCUGGGAAACUGCCUGAUGGAGGUGGAUAACUCCUGGAAACGGUAGCUAAUACCGCAUACCAUCCGAUGUUCCCAGAUGGGAUUAGCUAGUAGGUGGGGUAACGGCUCACCUAGGCGACGAUCCCUAGCUGGUCUGAGAGGAUGACCAGCCACACUGGAACUGAGACACGGUCCAGACUCCUACGGGAGGCAGAAGUGGGGAAUAUUGCACAAUGGGCGCAAGCCUGAUGCAGCCAUGCCGCGGGUAUGAAGAAGGCCUUCGGGCGGUAAAGCACUUUCAGCGAGGAGGCGUUACUCGCAGAAGAAGCACCGGCUAACUCCGUGCCAGCCGCCGCGGUAAUAC
This 406-nucleotide ribosomal RNA is filed under the name uncultured bacterium. RNAcentral describes it as "partial 16S ribosomal RNA". It matches the Rfam family "Bacterial small subunit ribosomal RNA", at positions 30 to 526 of the family's 1533-position model. The record is from RNAcentral.